This 331-nucleotide unclassified non-coding RNA is filed under the name soil metagenome. RNAcentral's name for it is "partial contains 5.8S ribosomal RNA, internal transcribed spacer 2, and large subunit ribosomal RNA". The stretch from base 1 to 119 matches the Rfam family "5.8S ribosomal RNA", at positions 35 to 154 of the family's 154-position model. The record is from RNAcentral.
GAUGAAGAACGUAGCGAAAUGCGAUACGUAAUGCGAAUUGCAGAAUCCGUGAGUCAUCGAAUCUUUGAACGCACAUUGCGCCCUUUGGUAUUCCUUAGGGCAUGCCUGUUCGAGCGUCAUUUAAACCUUCAAGCUAAGCUUGGUGUUGGGUGACUGUCCGCUUCACGGCGGACUCGCCUCAAAAUUAUUGGCGGCCGGUACAUUGGCUUCGAGCGCAGCAGAAACGCGAACUCGGGCCCGUCGUAUUGGCUCCCAGAAGCUAUCUUCACAAUUUUGACCUCGGAUCAGGUAGGGAUACCCGCUGAACUUAAGCAUAUCAAUAAGCGGAGGA